This is a small nuclear RNA of Echinops telfairi (small Madagascar hedgehog), 161 nucleotides long. Its record names the gene U1. It matches the Rfam family "U1 spliceosomal RNA". From Rfam's summary of the family: U1 is a small nuclear RNA (snRNA) component of the spliceosome (involved in pre-mRNA splicing). Its 5' end forms complementary base pairs with the 5' splice junction, thus defining the 5' donor site of an intron. Lineage: Eukaryota; Metazoa; Chordata; Mammalia; Afrosoricida; Tenrecidae. The record is from Ensembl.
AUACUGACCUGGCAGGGGAGAUAACAUGAUCACGAAGGUGGUUUUCCCAGGGCGAGGCUUAUCCAUUGCACUCCGGAUGUGCUGACCCCUGCGAUUUCCCAAAUGGGGGAAACUCGGCUGCUUCCUUUGUGGUCGUGGGAACUGCGCCCGUGCUCUCCUGA